Molecule: long non-coding RNA, 3286 nt
Organism: Tyto alba (common barn owl)
Lineage: Eukaryota; Metazoa; Chordata; Aves; Strigiformes; Tytonidae
Exons: 2
Source: RefSeq, a predicted model, not a curated record
UUCAAGUGGAUGUCCAGGCCAGCAGCUUCAAGUGCUCUCAUUCACAGGUGACCCAUCAAAAAUGUCUCUGCUGAGUUUGGUGGCACUGACAUCAAAGGUACACCAACAGAAGAUUUCGGCUCAGCAUUUUUCAUUGCAUGUCCACACCGACAUCACCAUUUCAAAGCCUGAUGUAGGAUGGAACGAGCAGAUCCUGCCAGUUUUCACUGCCUGUGUUUGGCAGCAGGCAGUUUUUGUGAUGGGCUUUACUGGAGGUGAGGCGACAGACACUUGUGGCAGCCCCUCAAUCAGACGUGGCACUCGAUACCCUGACUUCAGGGACAACAGCAAGAAUUUCUGGAGUCCAUUGCUAAACGGCCAUGCUACUUAAUUAGUUUUAUGCUUUUUUUUUUUUUCUUUCUUCUUUUUUUUUUUUCUCCUUCUUGCUCUUUCGUGGCAGGCAGGCUGGUUCACAGGACAGUACACUGGGAAGAUGGGCCAAUACGAGUGCUCUUCCAUGCAAAGACAUCUCAUAUGACAUAAAUGGCAUAAGUUCCAACCCUGGUCUGCUACCAUAUGCUCCUGCAGCUGCUGCUGUGGUCCUUAUCUUGCCCUGAGAAUCGCCUGAGACUCAGAUGGGGUGAGGGAGGUCUGAGGGCAUCAGGGCCACCCAGGGCACGGAUGGCACAUGUCCUUAGAGCAGUCGAGCAGCUAGCAACAAAACAGUAUGCAGGAGAUAAACAAGCUUUUGCAGAUAAUUGACAACAUCGGCCAGUGACAUUUCAGCCAGCCAGCAUGGCUUAAUCAGCUUGUACCUGCCCAGCCCUGCCACUGAGAUCAGGCCCUCCUUGCGCUGCAAGAAAAUUGUCUGUGGGGAAGAGGGAAGUGGAGGUGAAAGUUCUUGUGUUUAACAUCUGUUAAUGAAAGAUCAUUUAAUCAAUUGCAAAAACAAGAAUAGUCACCUCUCCAGAUUCCCAAAGACGUGUUCAUGUGGUGCUGCAGCUCUUCUUGGAUCCGUGCUCCCAAAAGGAUGACACUGCUGAGAAGGGAGGGCAGUUCAGUUUCAGAAAGGUUUUUGCCUUGUAGCAUGGUGGAGACAAGGGCCUGAUGGCUUGAGUCUGAGCUUGCCAGCCCCUUACAUGCGUGCCAGAUGUCCUAGUCCAGCAUCCAGCCCUCCCUCCCUACCACAACAGUGUAAGAACAAACCAGCCAGAGUUUAGUAGAAGACAGUAAAAAAAAAAAAAAAAAAACCAAACCCAAAAAAACCCAAACAACCCAAACCCAAAACAUAGAGGUGUUAUGCUAAUACCCUGUCACCUAAAGGAGUAAAGGGAGACCUGGCCGAUUCCAUUUUGAUGGUGAGGUGCAUCCAUCUGGAUGGAUGCUGUGUACAUCAGGACCCUCGGUGUCCUGAGAAACGGCUGAAAGAUAAAUUAUGGAACAUGAAAGCAGUGAUGCCUCCAGUGGGAUCGAGAGAGAACCAGGCUCACCAGCUCUGCCCCAGGCAAAGAACAGCCACACCAAUGGCCGUAUCUACCAGCCCCGUAAAUUUUGACGUCUUCUCCCUGUCCCAGCUGCACAGUGGGAGGAGUGGGAAGCAUCUGCCAGAGCAAAGGGAGAGUUUGUUGGAGGUAAUGAAGAAGGCUCAUCUUGGAGUCCUCCCCCUUGUGAACAUCUGGACAGAUAACAGCUCUUCCAAGAAAGAUUGAAAGAGCUGGGGAGGCCUCCUGGAAAGGGCAGGGAAAUGCUCCUCCUUAGAGCUGGUCAGUGUCAAGGGCAGUAAGGCGGAGAGAGGCUGCAGGGGCUAAUAGAGACCUUGUCACCUACAGGUCAAGGGUGGAACGGAUGGAACCAAGGCCACCAAAAGCCUACAGGGCAGAUGGUCUGCGGGUGAAACCAUGAGUCUUGAUCCUAGAAUAUGCUUCUUUUAGUCAAGUGCUGCAGCCUUGAAAUCCACUUAACCAUAUGGAUGGUAUCAAGAGGUGUAAUAAAAUGUUUUCUAUUUCAUUCAUGUCUCUGGAGGAGACUCCAUGCUCCCUCACUGGCUUCUCCGCUCAGCGAGUCCCCCUGGCAGUUGCCACCACUGUCUUUCAGCCAAGAGCAUGCCUUCCUCCUCAGGUCAAGUGACCCAUGACGGCACACAAGGACAUCACAAUAUGGCAAGAAUCACGUCAUUUACUCUGCAGACCACUCCACAGCAACAGCUAAGAGCAGAUCGCUUCUCUAACGUGCCGAAGUUGCUUUCAAAAAGGCUCAAAUCCCACUACCAUUCCAGCAGCAGCCUGCAGGAUGGCAAACUCCACCUGUGCACUCAUCGGCUUUUAAAAUGCCUUAAACAUAUUGCAUCCACUGGCCUGGUAUUGGAUUUCUCAAGCCCCAGUGAUGCAGAGGGGGUCUGCUGGGAGCGGUGUGAAAAGCAGCUCCUGAAACGCUGCUUUCUAAUUGACAGGACGGAGGGCAGGCACUACCUGCUGUUAGGGGGGAGAGCCAAGCAAGCCGUUAAGCUAUCAAGCAGAAGCCAAUGCAGGAUUGUUCCCCCCCCCGUGGUUCUCCAGAGCUUUGCCCAUCCAUGGCUGCCCCAGCAAAGAUCCUUUCCCUGCCUGCCCACACCUGGCCAGCCGCUGCAGGAGCAUCCCUGUGGUGUGAGUCCUUCCUACCCCCGCAAAGCCCAGGAGCGCACAGGGGCUCCUUCUGUCUCCAAAUGCAUCAGGUGGCGUGAAGCAGGCACAGACAUAGGAAGGACGAUUUAAGAGAACAGACUCCCCCUUGCUUGAAUUCCCUUCUCCCCACUGCACCAGGAGCUUAGGAAACUCAGGAGAGGGAUGAGCACACGUGGCAGAGCGAUGCCGAGGCACAGGGCGAGUGGGAGCAGGGAUCCCCCGCGCACUGCCAUCGAGGGUGUUUACAGAUCUGUGUUUGGCCACUGGAUCCAGCCUGCUGCACACCCUGAGGCUGUCACCACACAAAGCAAGCAAAGGGCAGUGGCUGCAUAUUUUACAGAAACAUAACAAAAGGAGAAAAAGAUUUGUUUUUCAGAGCUCGCAGGUUGCUGUUAGGCAGCUACUCCUUUCUAUGACAGUCGCUGUGGCUCAGAGACCACUGCAGACAUGCAGUUGCCAGGGUCUGAAGGGCAAAAUUCCUGUGUCUCAGUCUCCAAAUUCCUCAAAUAAGUCCCUCCAAUUUUUAUGUUUUCAUAAAGACAUGGCCUGCUGCCGGGUGACCUGGAAGAGGCAUCAUAGUGCUUUGUCAGCACACUCGCCUCACUGCAGAAGCUAAGGACCAAAUUGUCUUAUUAAUCAUUUAAAAA